GGUCGUGGAGCUCACUGGUUAAGAGCCCUGGCUUCUAUUGCAGAGGACCUGGGUUCAAAUCCCAGCACUUACA
Molecule: transfer RNA, 73 nt
Filed under: Rattus norvegicus (Norway rat)
Lineage: Eukaryota; Metazoa; Chordata; Mammalia; Rodentia; Muridae
Rfam family: tRNA
About the family: Transfer RNA (tRNA) molecules are approximately 80 nucleotides in length. Their secondary structure includes four short double-helical elements and three loops (D, anti-codon, and T loops).
Source: Rfam by way of RNAcentral